Molecule: ribosomal RNA, 272 nt
Filed under: uncultured Anoxybacillus sp.
Lineage: Bacteria; Bacillati; Bacillota; Bacilli; Caryophanales; Anoxybacillaceae
Description: partial 16S ribosomal RNA
Rfam family: Bacterial small subunit ribosomal RNA
Source: RNAcentral
UACGUAGGUGGCAAGCGUUGUCCGGAAUUAUUGGGCGUAAAGCGCGCGCAGGCGGUUCCUUAAGUCUGAUGUGAAAGCCUACGGCUCAACCGUGGAGGGUCAUUGGAAACUGGGGGACUUGAGUGCAGAAGAGGAGAGCGGAAUUCCACGUGUAGCGGUGAAAUGCGUAGAGAUGUGGAGGAACACCAGUGGCGAAGGCGGCUCUCUGGUCUGUAACUGACGCUGAGGCGCGAAAGCGUGGGGAGCAAACAGGAUUAGAUACCCUGGUAGUC